CUACAGGCACACCGGGUGCAGCAAACACACCCCACUGACGUUGCAAUGGUGCAAAACCCAAAGGGCCGAUGCAACAAACCCACCCCACUGUCUUUGCAAUGGUGCAACACCCAAAGGAACGACCCACAGGUGUCCUACAGCCACACUGGGUGCAGCAAACACACCCCACUGCCGUUGCAGUGCUGCAGAAUAUCAAAGGCCAAUGCAACAAACCCACCCCAUUGCCUUUGCAGUGGUGCAACACCCAAAGGCCCAACCCACACAUGUCCUACAGGUGCACCGGGUGCAGCAAACACACCCCACUGACGUUGCAAUGGUGCAAAACCCAAAGGGUCGAUGCCACAAACCCACCCCAUUGCCUUUGCAAUGGUGCAAAACCCAAAGGGUCAAUGCAACAAACCCACCCCAUUGCCUUUGCAAUGGUGCAGUACCCGAAGAGCUGACCCACAUAUAUCCUACAGACGCACCGGGUGCAACAAACCCACCCCAUUGCCUUUGCAAUGGUGCAGUACCCGAAGAGCUGACCCACAUAUAUCCUACAGACGCACCGGGUGCAGCAAACACACCCCACUGACUGUGCAAUGGUGCAAAACCCAAAGGGUCAAUGCAACAAACCCACCCCACUGUCUUUGCAAUGGUGCAACACCCAAAGGAACGACCCACAGGUGUCCUACAGCCACACUGGGUGCAGCAAACACACCCCACUGACGUUGCAGUGCUGCAGAAUAUCAAAGGCCAAUGCAACAAACCCACCCCAUUGCCUUUGCAAUGGUGCAGUACCCGAAGAGCGGACCCACAUAUAUCCCACAGGCACACCGGGUGCAGCAAACACACUCCAUUGGCUUUGCAACGGUGCAAAACCCAAAGGUCUGACCCACAACGUGUCCUACAGACACACUGCAUGCAGCAAACACACCCCACUGCACUGCAAUGGUGCAAAACCCAAAGGACCAAUGCAGCAGACCGCCCCACUGCACUGCAGUGGUGCAGAACCCAAAGAGCCGAUGCAACAAACCCAAACCAUUCGCUCUGCAGUUUAGGAUGGAGAGAUUGAUGCACCCGGGGCAGACAGUGACCUCCUCGGCCCCACACCUAUGGGGCUGCUGCUGUCCAAGCAUCAGCACUAUGGGGUCGGAUCGCUCCUACGGUGCCGAUGUCCCCAUUCCGGCUGCCAGGACUGCCGCUCUUCGGACACAGCGCCGCAGAGGACGGUUCCCACAGUGCACCCAUUGGGAUCCACACCUAUUUGGGAUGGGUACCCAUUUGGGACCCAUUGGGAUCCACACCUAUUUGGGAUGGGCACCCAUCUGGG
Molecule: long non-coding RNA, 1312 nt
Filed under: Gallus gallus (chicken)
Lineage: Eukaryota; Metazoa; Chordata; Aves; Galliformes; Phasianidae
Description: lncRNA (ENSGALG00010028840.1)
Source: RNAcentral